This 6415-nucleotide unclassified non-coding RNA is filed under the name Hevea brasiliensis (rubber tree). Lineage: Eukaryota; Viridiplantae; Streptophyta; Magnoliopsida; Malpighiales; Euphorbiaceae. The record is from RNAcentral.
GCCGAAUUUAGCAGGCUUGGUUGAUGGCGGGUACGAACGAGCCUCCUCUCUCAUCAAGCGCAAAGACCGAGUUUAAGAUUGUAACCUCGUAGUUUUCGCUCAAGAGCAGAAGUGGAGAUCACAAAGAAGGUCUAAUGGCGUGUUCCUCUUAUUGCUGUUGAAAGAUGGAAGCGAAAGAAGCUGCUAACGAGUUUCAGAAGAAAGGCACAAAGCGUAGGAAGGGAGUGGAAGACAGUAGCAAAAGAUCUGGGAAUGCGGGUGCUCCACGUACGCGUUCUCAGGUAGCUCCUGACUGGACCACCAAGGAAGCACUCAUUCUUGUCAACGAGAUUGCUGCUGUUGAAGGGGAUUGUUUAAGAGUUUUGUCUUCCUACCAGAAAUGGAAAAUUAUAGUCGAAAACUGUACUGUUUUGGAUUUACCACGCACUGCGAAUCAGUGUCGGAGCAAGUGGAAUUCGUUGCUGGCUGAGUACAACCAGAUCAAACAAUGGGAUUCCAAGUCCAAGAACGAUUCGUAUUGCUUUUUGGACUGUGAAAGGAGAAAACAAUUAGGACUUCCUGAGAAUUUUGACAACGAGCUCUUCAAAGCUAUUGACGAUUAUGUGAGGGCACAGAAGGACCGCCCGGAUACGGAUCCAGAUACUGAUCCGGAGGCACAGGCUGACCUGCUUCAUGUAAUAGCAAAACUUGGUAUGUUUUUUCUGCUUAGCAAUCUACUUCUUAUUUAUAAUUUUAUUAACUCGUUGAUGGAUGUUGCUUAUAAUAUUAAAUAUAACAAUUGGACUGAGACUUGAACUCAACUUCUUAGCUCCAGGGACGACUCCUUUACAAAUGAGCUCCGCUGAGGUGGAGCUCAUUGGUAAAUGUAAGUAAUCAUUGAUAAUUUAUAAUUUUCAUAUUUUUGGUUGACUGCCAUCCAUUUUAUUGCAAUUGUGUAAUUUUUGUCCAUUUGAAUACCAAAAUCAAGUGCUUAAUCUUAAGGACUUCCUAAUGUUGCUGUCUUGAAUAUUCUGAAAAUGAAAAAGAUUAUUUGCUAUUGCUAUUGAACUGCAUUUAUAACCAUUUGAUAUUGCUUUUCUACUAGUAGCUCUUGAAAGCUCUAAUGGAUUGUCGGAUCUCCAUGAACAUAUAAUUGUCCACAACAGCUCCUUAAUGCUUGCUUUUUAAAUUGUGGCAUAUAAAUUAUGGAGAUAAAGCUACUUCUGAUGAAAAUUUAUUCUAGUGGUAUCAUGUUAUGCUUCUUAAAUUUUAUGUUUUGGAUUUUAUCUUGUCAGAAAUCAAACAUCACAUUUAUUACCGUUCACAGAUCAUUUUCCUUGAUCUGGGGCAAAAUUUUUAAGUUCUUCAUUCCUUUUCAUAGGUAAAGAUCAUGGUGAGUUUCUUAUGAUUCAAAUAUGAAGCAGGGUUGUAUGCAAAACUACUAAUAGAUGCCAGAGCUGCUACAUUUCUGGUUUGGUUUACUGUAACUUUUCCAUGUGAUUUAUGUCUUUUUUGUUGCUUGAAUGGGCGACAGUUUAUGUUUCUCUUGGUAUUAAACAUUUGUGAGAGAGAAUAUUUGUGUGCAUGUGAUGUGGAUGAAACAGACAGUGGGGAGCUUUGAAUCAUGAAAGCUUAGAUGCUUACGUUUAAGACUUGUCUAGGUGUUAUUUAAAUAAUAAAAUUGAAGGAAUGAUGACAUUUUUAUCAUUUCUGUGGUUCCUGGGAAUUGUGUAAUAAAAUGUUCAAAUUUUUUGAGACUUUAUUGCAUAAAAAAAAACUUGAUAUGGCAGGAAUUGAUGGUGGAGACUGGAAAUAUGUGUUAGCAACUUAGCGUAACUGCUUAAGUUUCUUGAACCAUUGAUCUUGCACAUUGAGUAAUGUAUCUUGUUAUACUCUGUUGAUGAUUGUGCUUGAACCUAUCAGAGAUUCAGAGUAGAACAAUGAAGCUGCUUUUCAGUACCUGUAUUGUUAAGGCUAAUGGUAUCGGUGUUAUUAUAACUUUGUCUUUAUAGGGUCCAAGAGAAAACUUAAUGCAUUACUAGGAGAAAAGCCUCAAAAUUGCUGCACAAAGGAACAGCCUCUGAAAUUCCAUACUGGAGAGGAACCUCAGAAUAGUUGGAAGGGAGAAAAUCCUCAGAUGUGCUGUGAAAAGGAAAAGCCUCAGAAUAUCCAGGCUGAAGAGAAACCUCAGAAGACUCUUAUGGAAGAGAAGCCUAAAAAUGACUGCACACAAAAAAGGAAGAUAACUGGCACAGAAGAAAUGGACCAAAUGAUGGUGGACAGGCUGCGAGAGAAUGCAGAAUUCAUCCAUGCUAUAGUUCAAGAAAACCCUCCUGAGAUAGCAGACUUUGGGGCCGCUGAUUUUGUAAGAGGUCAAGGGGACAAGCUUAUUGCAUGCCUUGGUGAUAUUGUAAAUAUCCUUAACCAAUGUCCUCAUCUUGUCCAAGCCAGUGACUAGCUGAUGAAUCUCGUUAAAUUUAACUUUCAGAGUACUGGUGGAAUUCUGUAGCUAUCUUGACUAGAACCAGUGGAAUUAAGUGUUGCUGUCUAGCUUAUGAUCUGGUAUGUCAUAUGUGAUGGGAAAGGCAAUAAAUUGUCAUGUAGUUUGUGGAGAUGGCGUCAAAAUUUGCCGGGGACCAGGAUUUGAUCCAUUGGUUCAGAAGUGAUUAUUGAAUAUAUUCGGUAUGUAUACAUCCUUGCUCACAGUUAUAUAGAAUUCACUUUCUUUAUGAGUAUGAGAUAAUUCUGAAAUUUUCCUUAGACCAUGGAGUCAAUUGUUCGGCAAUCAUUGGGAAGAAAACAGAUUUCUACAGUCUUUGCCUGAUUGAAUGGUCAACCGGUGCAGAUGUUAAUACUGCUCUUCGAAAAGGUUCCUUCCAAGCUUGUCCCAUGUUGGUUGUCGGAUGUGUGGGAAGAUUUUGGCCUGUCGUGUGUCUGCAGAGAUAUUUUUUAGAUAAAAGGCGCUCGCAUAGACUUUUUUAAGGAGAGAAUAAUAGAUAUGACAUUUUUUUUACAAUAAUAAAAGAUGUAACAUUAUAAUCAGUAUUAUCAAACUAAAAUAUUUAUAAUAUAAAAUUAAAUAAUCAAAUAAUAUAAAAUGUAUUUAAUUUAAUAUUAGGCUUUAUUAAUUUUAUGGAAAAUAUUUUUGUUAUAUUCUCUGUUUCCAUAAAUUUAUUGUAUGGGAAGAGGUGUUGAAGCAAUACCAAACAUAUAUAAAAUUCUCAUAGUGCUAAAAGGAAAGCAUAUAUGCUGCAUAUCAAUGUUUUGUGAACUUCCUUAUUGAACAUUGAUGUUUUAUCAAUGCAAAUUUCCGAUGAUAUACAGGUGGUGCCUCUGGAAAAUUUGAAUGGCCGCAAACUUGUUGAAGGAGGAGAUCUUUGUGAGAGGAGAAAUGGAAGAGGAGUCGAUCUCAAUCGGAAUUGGAGUGUUGAUUGGGGCAAAAAGGAGGAGGUUUUUUUUAUGCUUAUUCACUCUAUUCCCUUUGAAUUCUACUCUGUUUUUUGUAUUAGAGUUUAAGAUUUCUACUCGAGAUAUAAUGUCUUUGGCAAUUCUGGAUUUUAAUUUUAAAUGAGCGUGAUAUGGAAUUUAUUUUGUUGAAAGCACCAUUGACAAAGCUUUAGACUAAAUCACUGAGGUCUUAGCCUUCCUUGUCACUACCAUUUAAUGUUUAAAUGCUACAACUUCAAAUUAACAGUAUGCUGUCAUGUGAUAUGAUGUCUCUGUCUCAUAUUAGUUGCUUAUCUAAUUAUAGGAUUACGAUCCAUAUGAAGAGAAUCAUGGCACUGGUCCUUUCAGUGAGCCCGAAACUCAAAUAAUGCGGAAACUUGCCCUAUCAUUCGAUCCUCACAUAUGGGUUAAUGUGCACUCUGGAAUGGAGGCUUUAUUUAUGCCAUAUGACCACAGGAACACGACACCUGAUGGGUUACCCUCACAGCGGAUGAAGUCGUUGCUUAAUGAACUGAAUCAAGUUCAUUGUCACAAGCGUUGCAUGAUUGGUUCAGGGGGAGGCUCUGUUGGGUUAGUCUAUUUAUCUGUGAGCCUUACAACCUAAGUGAGGCAAAUAUGUUCAUUAUUGCUUAAUUACAGUGCAGUACACAGACACUUGUGCACAUUCAUUAAUGGCUUCUUUUGUUUGAUUUGUAAUGUACCUCAUCCAAUUUUAGUUUAUGUAGCCUUGUCUGCAUUGUGAAAUGUCUGGUUAUGGUCUUCUAUAGCUCAGAAUAACGUAAUUAGGUUAUAAUGUCAUGUAUGUAUAGACAUCUAGUUGUUGGGGUUGCGGAGAAGAAUGCAAAAGGUUUCAGAAAAAGUGUUAUAGGUAUCAUAAGUACUUUUUGAUAAUAUUGAAGUUUUAGCUCUUCUUUGUUGGGAUAUGGAAAUUGUGUCUUGUUUGUACUUCAGCAAGCAUGUUGAAAUCGUAUUCAAACUCCAAUUUUGUUAUAUCUGAAUCUGAUUUGGUAUGAUUUGCAAGUCUAUAUUUAGCAUUGGUUUAUGUACUAGGAUUGCAGUCAAUAGCAGGACCUGAAGGUUGGCUGGCCAUUAGUUCUCAUAUUCAAAUUCAAGUUCUUAGUGAGUUUGCAGGGCUUUGGAGAUGGAUCUCUCCUCUACUAGCAUUUGAUUAUUUUUUUGCAUUUUGAAGAACUUCAGUUCCCUAGGUUGACAUUUUAUCAACUUGAAGGGAAUGUGUAUCAUUUGCUGUAAAAUGCUGAAUCAUGGUCUUUUAUUCAUCAAUGUGGCUAUGCCAGUUGGAAAUACUGACAUGCUUAUUGGUUUUAUUCCAUGCUAAAUUUAGGUAUCUUGCACAUGGAACAGCAACAGAUUACAUGUACGACAUUGUAAAAGUGCCUAUGGCUUUCACCUUUGAGAUAUAUGGGGAUCCAACAGCAUCAUCAAAAGACUGCUUUAAAAUGUUCAAUCCUGUUGACCUCACUACCUUCAAUAGAGUUCUCAAUGAUUGGUCUGCUGCUUUUUUUACUAUAUUUAAAAUGGGACCACUCCAACUAGAUGAGAUCGGAUCAAAGGCUUCUACAUCCAGUUUGGACAAGUGGGUAUCCAUAGAUGAAUAUCUUGAUGGGUACUUAAUGGAGAGGAGAAAUAGAUAUGGUAAGAAGAUAGAGGUGCUAGAUCUUGGGAUGCAGGAGAUAAGGACGUAUUUUAGGCUCUUCUUGCUGUCCUCAGUUCUGUUGUUUUUCAUGUUUUGUUCUAGAAUUUCAAAGAGCAAGUCUAGUAGACCUAUUGUUUCAGGCAUGGCCCUAUGAUCUUGUAUCUUGACAGGUGCUAGUGUGUUUUACGAGUGAGAGAGACAGAGAUGUAUUACAUUCUUUGGAGGAUAUUUUGAUUUGUGUAAUUAAACCUUAUAUAGGAUAAUUUUUUUUUCCAUAAUGCAACACUGAUUUCUUUAAUGAAUUGCAACAACUAUCACUGUAACUGUACUGAAGUUUUUACAUUCUCUGCCUGUCCUGUUCCCUUGCAGUACUAAUCCUGGAGAGCUAAUGCUUUGACGGACCUAACUAAUUUCUCAUUUGUCUUCAAGACGUGAGCAAUGCACACGAUAAAAUCUAUCUCUACCGCCAAAUGACUGUCCCACUUCGGUAUAGAUGUCAAUAAAUAGUACGACUUCGGCAUCGAUGUCAAUAAAUAGUCCGACUUUCAAAAGGGGGCAAGUGUCCUUUGAUUGCUAACAUGAUUAAAGAUGUGCCAAAAUCAGCAAUAUAAACCUUAUCAACUCUUCAUCACAAAUACUCUUUUGGAAAUUCCAACACAAAACGUUGUUUCAUUUCAAAUUUAGUUAUUCUAAUAUCCUUUUCAAGUAGUAGGCUAUUUAUCGAGUUGCACAAAAUACUCUCAUCUCAGUGAUUAGGCUUAGGUUCUGAUUGGCAAUAUUAAUUGUUCUAAUUGUUGUUAGUUGGAUUAACUGUUAAAUGUAAAAUAGUUUACUGCUCUCCCAACCUCUAAAACAGUGACUAAAUAAGAGAGAUAUUAUUUUAACUAUAAAAACAGUGACUAAACAGGGCUUAAGUAUAGUUCAAAAUGCUUUCAGGAUUUCAAUUGGUACAUGAAAUUUUUUUCUUUUUUAUAAGCAAAAAUUAUUACAUGAAGUUGUUAAUAUAUUCUUGCUUAAUUGGAAUUCUUCUCCUUUUGUCGCUCAUAUUGACUAAUUUUACUAAUUUCUUUCUUCAAUUUUCAGGAGAAAAACAUUUACUGAAGAAUUCAGAAGACUAGCUCCUGCGUCUCCUUUACUAAGCCCUUGCAAAGUAAAUAAAGUUGUAUUUAUAUUUUUCUGAACAUCUCUUGUUGGCAUAAGAAAACUUCCAAGGCAUGCAGUUGCCUUUUAUUUUUACCAUAAAUCGAUUAUGUUUGAUGUAAAACUUUGGCACCUGCUUACUGUUUGUUCUAUUAUAUAUGUAUGCUUUUACUAAUAAAUUGAUGUGCCUUAAUU